GCAAGUCGAGCGGACAGAUGGGAGCUUGCUCCCUGAUGUUAGCGGCGGACGGGUGAGUAACACGUGGGUAACCUGCCUGUAAGACUGGGAUAACUCCGGGAAACCGGGGCUAAUACCGGAUGCUUGUUUGAACCGCAUGGUUCAAACAUAAAAGGUGGCUUCGGCUACCACUUACAGAUGGACCCGCGGCGCAUUAGCUAGUUGGUGAGGUAACGGCUCACCAAGGCAACGAUGCGUAGCCGACCUGAGAGGGUGAUCGGCCACACUGGGACUGAGACACGGCCCAGACUCCUACGGGAGGCAGCAGUAGGGAAUCUUCCGCAAUGGACGAAAGUCUGACGGAGCAACGCCGCGUGAGUGAUGAAGGUUUUCGGAUCGUAAAGCUCUGUUGUUAGGGAAGAACAAGUACCGUUCGAAUAGGGCGGUACCUUGACGGUACCUAACCAGAAAGCCACGGCUAACUACGUGCCAGCAGCCGCGGUAAUACGUAGGUGGCAAGCGUUGUCCGGAAUUAUUGGGCGUAAAGGGCUCGCAGGCGGUUUCUUAAGUCUGAUGUGAAAGCCCCCGGCUCAACCGGGGAGGGUCAUUGGAAACUGGGGAACUUGAGUGCAGAAGAGGAGAGUGGAAUUCCACGUGUAGCGGUGAAAUGCGUAGAGAUGUGGAGGAACACCAGUGGCGAAGGCGACUCUCUGGUCUGUAACUGACGCU
This 708-nucleotide ribosomal RNA is filed under the name Bacillus sp. CSu1_14. RNAcentral describes it as "bacterial SSU rRNA". It matches the Rfam family "Bacterial small subunit ribosomal RNA", at positions 57 to 747 of the family's 1533-position model. The record is from RNAcentral. Lineage: Bacteria; Bacillati; Bacillota; Bacilli; Caryophanales; Bacillaceae.